AGAUUUUGAGAGCAGCCAGUCCAGACUGCAGCAAGGGGAGAGAGAGCUCCAGGAAGGAUAUCUUCCAAAAAAGGGUUUACGCUGGCAGAACAUAUGGAGAGGAGAUUUCCAUUUCUGAAGCAGGGUUUGGGAUGAUUUCAGUAGAGGCUGAUAGGCAGAAGUGACGUGCCUUGUGUCAGAUGAGACUUUGGACUUGGACUUUUGAGUUAAUGCUGGAAUGAGUUAAGACUUUGGGGGACCAUUGGGAAGGCAUGAUUGUGUUUUAAAAUGUGAGAAGGACAUGAGAUUUGGGAAGGGGCAGUGGUAGAACGAUUUGGUUUGGCUUUGUGUCCCCACCCAAAUCUCACGUUGAGUUGUAAUCCCUAGUGUUGGAGGUGGGGCGUGGUGGGAAGUGAUUGGAUCAUGGGGUGAUUUCUAGUGGUUUAGCAUCAUUCCCCUAGUGCUGUCUUAUGAUAGAAUUCUCACAAGAUCUGGUUGCUUAAAAGUGUAUGACACUUUCCCCUUCUCUCUCUCUUUCUCUCUUUCUCUCUCUCCUGCCACCAUGUGAAGACAUGCUUGCUUCCCCUUUGUCCUUCUGCCAUGAUUGUGAGUUUCCUGAGGCCUCCCCAACCAUGCAUCCUGC
This 622-nucleotide long non-coding RNA is filed under the name Homo sapiens (human). RNAcentral's name for it is "HSALNT0319244". The record is from RNAcentral. Lineage: Eukaryota; Metazoa; Chordata; Mammalia; Primates; Hominidae.